ACCAACCAAAAGAAUAAAAUUAUGCAAAUUUUUUUGUUGUUUUCCCCAAUACAAAAAUAAUUUUUUGUGAUGCUCUUUCUGAUGAAUGAAAUUCACAGAAAAACCGCAAAAAAAAUAUACAAAAAUUUGUUGUGUCUCUAAACAAAUAUAUAAACGGUAAUAUUUGGACUCGCGAUUCGGUUCGGGAUCGUUGGGCUAUAGCUUCUGAGCCCCCACCGUCAAAGAACUGUACCGUACCGGUCGUCGCGUCGCUUCUUUGGAGGUGUUUCGAAAAAGUACCACCACGAAAAUGCAUAAAUUUCGAAUACAGUCCAAAACGGGUGCACAAUAAGCCGACAAAAACAGGAUCCUUCAGCGGCUAAGGAACACCUCAUCAAUGGUCUCUCAACGCAAUUGUGAAAAUCCUUCAUAAAAAAAGGGUAUCUAAUAUCGAGAAAAAUCGAAACAAAUCGAAAAAUCAAAGAUAACGCAGAUAUAGAUAAAGAUCUUUUAAAUACCGAUUGAAAUGUGUAUAAUGUUGAAUGCAACAAAGUGGAGUGCGCACUCCAUUUGAAAUAGAUAAAGAUGCGCAACCGCUGCCGUGGCCUCCAUUUGUGGCAUACGACGCGAUGCAACGCCUAAAUAUCCGUGGAAGAAGCAACUGCUGUGAGUGUUCGAAUGUUGUCGAAACAUGGUACGCGACAGUAGCCGUAACAUUUGUUUUGGAAAAUUAGCCGAAACUACGACAACCACAACGCCACAACAGCAACAGAUCCUGCAACAUCCUGUGCAGCAGCCACAUCAUCAACAGCAGCAGCAGCAUCAGCAGC
RNAcentral lists this small RNA (809 nucleotides) under Drosophila pseudoobscura pseudoobscura. RNAcentral describes it as "GA31117". The record is from RNAcentral. Lineage: Eukaryota; Metazoa; Arthropoda; Insecta; Diptera; Drosophilidae.